UACGGAGGGGGCUAGCGUUGUUCGGAAUUACUGGGCGUAAAGCGCGCGUAGGCGGCUUUGUAAGUUAGAGGUGAAAGCCCGGAGCUCAACUCCGGAACUGCCAUUGAAACUGUGAAACUUGAGGACGAGAGAGGUGAGUGGAAUUCCCAGUGUAGAGGUGAAAUUCGUAGAUAUUGGGAAGAACACCGGUAGCGAAGGCGGCUCACUGGCUCGUUUCUGACGCUCAGGCGCGACAGCGUGGGGAUCAAACAGG
This 253-nucleotide ribosomal RNA is filed under the name uncultured bacterium. RNAcentral's name for it is "partial 16S ribosomal RNA". It matches the Rfam family "Bacterial small subunit ribosomal RNA", at positions 524 to 776 of the family's 1533-position model. The record is from RNAcentral.